This 4212-nucleotide long non-coding RNA is filed under the name Marmota monax (woodchuck). Lineage: Eukaryota; Metazoa; Chordata; Mammalia; Rodentia; Sciuridae. The record is from RNAcentral.
UGGGCUUAACCCUGCCGCUCCCGCGUGCGGCUGCGCCAGCCCGGACGCCCGACUCGAGCCCGAGGCGGGGGAGGGGAGCCCAGGGACCAGGUGGGAGGGAAGAGAGCGAAAGGAAUUCUCUGUUCGCACCUUCCCUGGGACCCCAAAUGUCGCCCUAUGGCCAAACCCUUGGUUUUUUGGAGUUUCGGGACGGGAAAGAUCGCCAAAGAGAAGUCUCCUCAAACUUCUCAACCACUUUCCGUCUUCUAGGGAAGCCACAAGACUUUCUAGAGGAAAGGGGUGGGGAAAACUGUCCUCGGAAGAAGUCCCAACAAACAACGAGGACACAAAGGCUCCCUCACGCCGCCGCCCCAGCCCUUCGGAACCCAGGGGACCGAGUGGCAGUGGAAAAGUGUGAAAAGCCCCGAAAUCCCUGGAAGGGUGUCCGUAGCUUGUCCGGGGCGGCCUCGCCGCCCCCCCCCCCGGGCCUCUGCAGGGCGCCUGGCCCUCGGUGACCUCAGCGGAGACCGCGGGCCUCGCGGCGGAAAGCGAAGGCGGGUCCGCGGUCCGAAAGCGCCGCGACACACCCGCCCCAAUGGCCCGCGUAGAAACUCCGGCCUGACCCUGAGAGGCGGCCGGGCCAACUCCGGCUGACGACGCCGCCCGUGGGCCUGGGGUGCAGAGUCACCCGCCACCCUCCGCCGCGUCAAGGCAGCCCACCCGUGGGGUCCCUGGGCCACAGGAGGGCCUCUGCUCCUGGCCUCCCCUGCAGGAUUUAGGGCAGUAGGACUUGGCCGCGUCCAAUACCCAGUCCCUUCCGUCCAGCCACCGGCCUCGGGAAGUUCCCCACCCCAAGCUGCGACAAAGCCAAGAAGGAGUGGGCGACCGCGCUGGAGGGAGCCCAAGGCGGCGGGGCAGAGGCCAGAUAUUCCCUGGCCAUAGAUCCAUCCGGGAUGGGACACGGAUCCUCUCUCGCAGGCAUUUAUUUAUUCAGCAGCUACUACGUGCUGAUCUGCACUGAGGAAGGGCCGGACGUCGGACUCCGGAUAGGAUCACGCCGGGAGCAGCAGGACUGCUGGGCCUGGACUCCGAGCACUGUGUCCCCAGCCCAAAAAUUCCUUUCCUGCCUGGUCUAUACCACGGUUCUCCAUUCAUAUUCUUCCGGGUUUCUAAGCAAAUUCUUUUAAAACACGGAGCCUUGAGGAAAGCAGGCCCUGGAACGCAAUCAUUCACCUCUUGGUGUGCAUUCGCUUAAUUUUGUCUGCUAAUAUAUAAUGACUUCCCACCUGUGCAGGACUCAGGGCUGGGCAGGGGCUAUUAUAGGGUUUGCCUCUGUUCCGGGAUUCACAGGCCCGCGAGUGUUGAAGCGAAUUGAUACCGCACAGGAGAAUUGAUACUGGAAGGUGCAGGAGGAGGGUGCUGGCUAAGGGCGGAGGCUCAGACUUGGAGAGGGCGCUGGGCUUGACUUCUCUCCUUGAAGGGGAAAAGGCCAUCUCUUCUGUACCUGGAGCAGUCUAGGCGGGGAGCAGAAAUUUAAACCGCCAGAAACUCUGAAAAGCUUGGAGGACCUGGGAGGGAGCAACCAGACUGUGAGCCAGAGGUAGUGAAGGUUAGCAUAGAAGAGGAAUUCGCUCUCUUUGGCGCUUUUUCUUUUUAGAUCUUCCUUUACACCAAGGCCUUUGGAAGCUAGGCUUUGCGCUUAGUAAAGAGAACCGCCCGCCCACCCACCUCAUAACCUGUAUUCUGCCCCGCUCCAUUAAUCAAGAAAUGAUCUCUCAAGGUCCUAGUCAGUGGAAUGAGACAGCCUGGUGGUUAGUCUUAAGGUUGGACUUUUGAAUGCUGAAAAAACAAAAAACAAACAGGGCUUGUCUAAAAUUAAUCUCUCACAAUACUGAGGGGAUGUGUUUUGUUUUGGAUUGCUUUAAAUGGGUCCACUUGCAUGGCCAAAAUUUGCUGUGUGGUAUACUAACACCAUUAAUCCUCAACCAAACCAAGCCAUUGUUAUUUAAAACUUGCUUCCUGGCUUUUCUCCCCCCCCCCCAACAGUUUAAAGACAUUUAUUAUGCUAAAAUAUUAACGUCCUACGUUUAAAAACAACACCACCACAUUAGAGUAAUACACUUUGCAGUUGCCAUAACUUAACUCAUUUCACUGGGAUGAACUACUGCACAGUAGUUUCCAGCAUAGUUUCAAAUUUGGUAAACUCUCAGCUAAAUAUUAUUACCUAAUUUCUAUAACAAAUGAAGAAUCCAAAAAGCCCACAACAUUAAAUGGCAUUUAUUGUUCCAUAAAUCUUCAGACUUCAAAAAGAAAUGCUAAGUGGACAAAACUCUAAAGCAAGGAAGAGACAAGCUCACUUCUCUCCCACUGAUAGGCGCAGGAAACAUUUGAUCAUACAAAAGCAGUUAAAGGCAGAAAGGAGAGCUGCUGCUCUACAGCCAUUCUUGUUUUGAUCUCCUUUGAACUCUGCUGUUCUGAUUUCACCUAAUCUAUGCAGGAGCAUCCCCUUAGAGAAUUCCUAAUGGUUAGGAUAAUGAAAUUUCAUCAGUAUUCAUAUCUGUAAAAAUAAAUAAAUGUAAAAAUUAUCCCCAUUUAGAUUUUAUUUGGGCUCCCCAUGAUCCUUGGCAAAGAAGUAUGACACAUCUACUGUUUAGGAUGUCAGAUUAUCAAGUUCUGGUCAAUGACAAAUCUAUUCUCUGACCCUCAAAUUUUCCUUUUCUCCUACCUUUACCCUCAAAUUUUCCUUUUCUCCUACCUCUCCAGUGGUAAUAGUCUGUGGUGAUAAGAUGUUAUAAACAAAGCUUCUACAGUCAAUAUCCUAAUCCUAGGUGGCCAGAAAAUUAGCAAUAUAAAAAUUAGGAUUAGAAAGUGAAAAAUAUUUCAAAAGAUCAUCUAGUUGUACCCAAAUUUAAAAUAUACAUUCCUUUACUCCAGCAAUGUAAUGAUUUUACCUCUGGAUAUGAAAAUUCCUCAGUGUCUUCAAAGGAUGUUCAUUGCAGUGUGUUUAAUAAGAUCAAAACUGGAAAAACCACCAGUGGCCAUUAGUAAAGUGCUGAUUAAAUGAAGUAUAAAUUACCCAUGCUCAGCAAGCAUUUAAAAAGCAUUAAAUAUAUUAAAUAAGGAAAGAUGUCCAGGAUAUAUUAAGUGAAAAAAGCAAGGUGCAAAUAGACACUGCUCACUGCCAGUUAACUUUAGUAUAGAGUUACAAUCCGAUUCUGGAGGUCAGGCCAACCAUAAAAUGUAAAGAUGACAGUCUCCUAUACACUUACUUUGUGUCAAAGGAAUAGCACAGUAAAGGAGGGAAUUUUUAUAGAGGAUGGGAACUAUCAGGGAGGUCCCAUCAAAGAAGUUUACAUGAAGUAAAUGAUCAGUAAGGAAAAGGGAUGGGGUAGAGGCGAACACAGACAUAAUCCCAAAUUAACAGGCCAGGCAGGGCAUGCUUAUGGAAAGAAAAGGACAUACAAAGUUCAAAGAUGAUUCUGGCAUGAAGGAACACAAGACUGGCUGGAGCCAUCUAGUUAAGGAGGUUGUAGUGAUAGUAUAGGUAUGAGAUAGAUAAGGGCUGGGAUUAGAAAUAAAGCAAUGAGGAUGAAAAGGAAUGAUCUGGCAAGAAUUUGUGACUGAUUAGAUUAAGAAGGGAGCAGUGAAUAGACUAGAAGCAGGAAUCUGGGAUGAGUCCAAGAUUUUAGACUGUGGAAACAGAUUCAAAGAACUGGAAAAAAAUGAGGAAGUCCAAAGGGGGAUCUGAUAUAGGGUUUAGUUUUAGAAAUUAGAGAUACCCAGCAGAAAGUUAAAGGUCAGGACUAAAACUCAAACAACAGGUCAGGACUGCAAAUACAUGUUGGAUGUCAUCAUCGGAAGUUGGUAGAGGACUGAGGCUUCAGAACUGAAUCUUAGGAAGGUAAUGUUAAUGCAAGUAGAAGAGAAUUAAGUAACUCAUCUAUAAUCCUAUUUUUGGCCCAUAACUCUUCAGUAAUGUGAUAAGAUUUUGUUUAUUUCUUUAUGGUCUCUGUUUUCAGUGAUGUGUGUAAGAAUUAUUUGCUAGCGUGGAAACCAUCUUUGAAUGAAUUAUUGUUAUAGCCCUUAUUGUUCUGCUAGUGAGUCAACUCUGUGUAGGACAAGAUGAACUGGUUUUCAAUAUUUUAAUAUCCCUUGUUUUCUCAAGGAGAUUGGAGAUUAUAUAAGCCAGAAAUUCUAAAUAAAAAGAACAUUCCUUUUUUUCCUGAAGCAAAC